GAUGAACGCUAGCUACAGGCUUAACACAUGCAAGUCGAGGGGUAACGAGAGGAAAGCUUGCUUUCCUUGUCGACGACCGGCGCACGGGUGAGUAACGCGUAUCCAACCUGCCCCCAACUAGGGAAUAACCUUGCGAAAGUAAGACUAAUACCCUAUAAUUUCCUCAGAUGUCAUCUGACGAGGAAUAAAGAUUUAUCGGUUGUGGAUGGGGAUGGGUCUGAUUAGCUUGUUGGCGGGGUAACGGCCCACCAAGGCAACGAUCAGUAGGGGUUCUGGGAGGAAGGUCCCCCACAUUGGAACGGGGACACGGUCCAAACUGCUACGGGAGGCAGCAGUGAGGAAUAUUGGUCAAUGGGCGGAAGCCUGAACCAGCCAAGUAGCGUGCAGGAUGACGGCCCUAUGGGUUGUAAACUGCUUUUAUACAGGAAUAAAGUUAGCCACGUGUGGUUAUUUGUAGGUACUGUAUGAAUAAGGACCGGCUAAUUCCGUGCCAGCCGCCGCCGUAA
Molecule: ribosomal RNA, 506 nt
Filed under: uncultured bacterium
Lineage: Bacteria
Description: partial 16S ribosomal RNA
Rfam family: Bacterial small subunit ribosomal RNA
Source: RNAcentral